RNAcentral lists this ribosomal RNA (723 nucleotides) under Leuconostoc lactis. Its description in RNAcentral is "bacterial SSU rRNA". It matches the Rfam family "Bacterial small subunit ribosomal RNA", at positions 49 to 754 of the family's 1533-position model. Lineage: Bacteria; Bacillati; Bacillota; Bacilli; Lactobacillales; Lactobacillaceae. The record is from RNAcentral.
UAAUACAUGCAAGUCGAACGCGCAGCGAAAGGUGCUUGCACCUUUCAAGCGAGUGGCGAACGGGUGAGUAACACGUGGAUAACCUGCCUCAAGGCUGGGGAUAACAUUUGGAAACAGAUGCUAAUACCGAAUAAAACUUAGUAUCGCAUGAUACAAAGUUGAAAGGCGCUACGGCGUCACCUAGAGAUGGGUCCGCGGUGCAUUAGUUAGUUGGUGGGGUAAAGGCCUACCAAGACAAUGAUGCAUAGCCGAGUUGAGAGACUGAUCGGCCACAUUGGGACUGAGACACGGCCCAAACUCCUACGGGAGGCUGCAGUAGGGAAUCUUCCACAAUGGGCGAAAGCCUGAUGGAGCAACGCCGCGUGUGUGAUGAAGGCUUUAGGGUCGUAAAGCACUGUUGUAUGGGAAGAAAUGCUAGAAUAGGGAAUGAUUCUAGUUCGACGGUACCAUACCAGAAAGGGACGGCUAAAUACGUGCCAGCAGCCGCGGUAAUACGUAUGUCCCGAGCGUUAUCCGGAUUUAUUGGGCGUAAAGCGAGCGCAGACGGUUGAUUAAGUCUGAUGUGAAAGCCCGGAGCUCAACUCCGGAAUGGCAUUGGAAACUGGUUAACUUGAGUGUUGUAGAGGUAAGUGGAACUCCAUGUGUAGCGGUGGAAUGCGUAGAUAUAUGGAAGAACACCAGUGGCGAAGGCGGCUUACUGGACAACAACUGACGUUGAGGCUC